UACAGAGGGUGCAAGCGUUAAUCGGAAUUACUGGGCGUAAAGCGUGCGUAGACGGUUAUUUAAGUCAGGUGUGAAAGCCCCGGGCUCAACCUGGGAAUUGCAUUUGAGACUGAAUAGCUAGGGUGCGGAAGAGGGAAGCGGAAUUUCCGGUGUAGCGGUGAAAUGCGCAGAUAUCGGAAGGAACACCAGUGGCGAAAGCGGCUUCCUGGUCCAGCACCGACGUUCAGGCACGAAAGCGUGGGGAGCAAACAGG
RNAcentral lists this ribosomal RNA (253 nucleotides) under uncultured bacterium. Its description in RNAcentral is "partial 16S ribosomal RNA". It matches the Rfam family "Bacterial small subunit ribosomal RNA", at positions 524 to 776 of the family's 1533-position model. The record is from RNAcentral.